Molecule: ribosomal RNA, 538 nt
Filed under: uncultured bacterium
Lineage: Bacteria
Description: bacterial SSU rRNA
Rfam family: Bacterial small subunit ribosomal RNA
Source: RNAcentral
GCAGUGGGGAAUAUUGCACAAUGGGCGAAAGCCUGAUGCAGCAACGCCGCGUGAGGGAUGAAUGCCUUCGGGUUGUAAACCUCUUUUAGCAGGGAAGAAGCGAAAGUGACGGUACCUGCAGAAAAAGCACCGGCUAACUACGUGCCAGCAGCCGCGGUAAUACGUAGGGUGCAAGCGUUGUCCGGAAUUAUUGGGCGUAAAGAGCUCGUAGGCGGUUUGUCGCGUCUGCUGUGAAAACCCGAGGCUCAACCUCGGGCUUGCAGUGGGUACGGGCAGACUAGAGUGCGGUAGGGGAGAUUGGAAUUCCUGGUGUAGCGGUGGAAUGCGCAGAUAUCAGGAGGAACACCAAUGGCGAAGGCAGAUCUCUGGGCCGCUACUGACGCUGAGGAGCGAAAGCAUGGGGAGCGAACAGGAUUAGAUACCCUGGUAGUCCAUGCCGUAAACGGUGGCAACUAGAUGUAGGGACCAUUCCACGGUUUCUGUGUCGUAGCUAACGCAUUAAGUUGCCCGCCUGGGGAGUACGGCCGCAAGGCUAAAA